AUACGUAGGUGGCGAGCGUUAUCCGGAUUUACUGGGUGUAAAGGGCGUGUAGGCGGUUUUGUAAGUCGGAUGUGAAAUUCCCAGGCUUAACUUGGGAGCUGCAUCCGAAAUUACAGAACUUGAGUACUGGAGAGGAUAGUGGAAUUCCUAGUGUAGCGGUGAAAUGCGUAGAUAUUAGGAGGAACACCAGUAGCGAAGGCGGCUUUCUGGACUGUAACUGACACUGAGGCACGAAAGCGUGGGGAGC
Molecule: ribosomal RNA, 247 nt
Filed under: uncultured bacterium
Lineage: Bacteria
Description: partial 16S ribosomal RNA
Rfam family: Bacterial small subunit ribosomal RNA
Source: RNAcentral